GCGCAUGUGGCGAAAUUGGCAGACGCGCCAGCUUGAGGUGCUGGUGGGGCAACCCAUGGAGGUUCGAGUCCUCUCGUGCGCA
Molecule: transfer RNA, 82 nt
Filed under: bacterium
Lineage: Bacteria
Also listed under: 4 other names
Description: tRNA-Leu
Rfam family: tRNA
About the family: Transfer RNA (tRNA) molecules are approximately 80 nucleotides in length.
Source: RNAcentral